CACACUGCUCUUAACACCGAGCAUUCAAACUGCCACUCCAGUCUACAACAACUGAACAAUGUGCUCAUCAUUCACCAUCUCACUCUUUCUCUCAGCUCUCUGGAGUCAGGUUUCUCUGGGGAUCAUCACAGUAGAUCAGUCUCCUCCGGUCAUCUCCGUCCAGCCUCACGACACUGUGAAGAUUCUUUGUCGAGCUUCACAGGACAUUUAUGCUGACAUGGAGCUGUAUCAGCUUAAACCUGGACAGGCUCCUAAACAUUUGAUUCACGACAGUACUAGCAGAAUGUCUGGUGUUCCUGACAGAUUCAGUGGCACAUAUACAGCAGCUCUGACAACCUUCACCAUCUCAGGUGUUCAGCUGGAGGAUGAAGCUGAGUAUCACUGUGCCCACAGUGAGGAAUAUCCAGUCACACAGUGAAAUAAUGCUGUACAAAAACCUCUGUGUUUCUCAGCUUGACUGAUCACUCGAUGAGAGCCUGGUGUUAUGUUAGUUACUUUGUUACCAUACAGCAAAGGUGUUACCUAUAUCACUUAAACAAACAAUUAUUUAAACAGUUAAAACAAUUAUUUAUCAUCAUUCUAUAUUUUUGCCUUGGGCUUAAGCCAACCAAUU
This is a non-coding RNA of Colossoma macropomum (tambaqui), 613 nucleotides long. The record is from the annotation of a RefSeq genome assembly. NCBI's taxonomy places the organism in Eukaryota, Metazoa, Chordata, Actinopteri, Characiformes, Serrasalmidae.